CGUGCGUUGGUGGAAUAGGGGUAACACGCUGGCCUCGUAUGUCAGGUGUCCGGAGUUCAAACCCCGGCACGG
RNAcentral lists this transfer RNA (72 nucleotides) under Opisthorchis viverrini. It matches the Rfam family "tRNA". Rfam says of the family: Transfer RNA (tRNA) molecules are approximately 80 nucleotides in length. Their secondary structure includes four short double-helical elements and three loops (D, anti-codon, and T loops). Further hydrogen bonds mediate the characteristic L-shaped molecular structure. tRNAs have two regions of fundamental functional importance: the anti-codon, which is responsible for specific mRNA codon recognition, and the 3' end, to which the tRNAs corresponding amino acid is attached (by aminoacyl-tRNA synthetases). tRNAs cope with the degeneracy of the genetic code in two manners: having more than one tRNA (with a specific anti-codon) for a particular amino acid; and 'wobble' base-pairing, i.e. permitting non-standard base-pairing at the 3rd anti-codon position. The record is from Rfam by way of RNAcentral. Lineage: Eukaryota; Metazoa; Platyhelminthes; Trematoda; Opisthorchiida; Opisthorchiidae.